AUGAUUUAAAUGAGUUUUAGCAAGUCCUCAUUGCUUGUCAAAUAUGUAGAAACUUUGGAAGCAAAACUGGUUCGGAGAUGGUCAAGCUUCACAGUUAGGAUGGUUAUGGUGGGCACCAAUGUUGGCUCGAAUUUAGCCUAUUACCCAAAAACAUUUAAAAUUCAACUUAGAAGCCAAUACUCACAUCUACCUCUGAGACCAGUUGGAGAUAGAAAAAAUACACCAGCCGUGAGUGAGAAGAAGCAAGGGUCCAGCUUUAUUGUUCCAUUCCACCACACGAGAUCCACACCGAUGAGAAUUCUCAGAAGUGAUCCCCCCUACCCUGAGCUUAAGCUCCAGUAUUUAUACUGUAUUUACACACUAGAUAACCCAUAGGUUUCCAGAAAAGGCCUAUUUCACUUACCCAUAGAAUUGAAACCCGGGGUUUUACUUUACACAUAAAAUCAGAACUCAGGCAUUUCCAACAACCCAGGAAACAAAAACCCAGUGUUUCUAUUUACCUAGGUUUUCAAAAACCAGGGUUCUCUUUUACCUAGGUCUUCAAAAACCAGGGUUCUCCCUUACCUAGGUCUUCAGAAACCAUGAUUCCCAUUUCCCUAGGUAAUAAAAAUGACGUAAGCAAGACGACUAAACAACCGGGAGGGACCUUGGUCUUAUCGUUAUCUCGAGGGGGGGGCAGCCACCCUUAUAACUGGCUUUCUUCAUGGUUCUCUAAAAAUUAAGGCUUUCCUUGCGAGACGAGAAUCUUCACCAUCUGAAUCAUGAUGCCUUGGAGAUUGGGCGCAUGGUUGCAACAUAUUCAGUCAAGAAAGCAAGUUCUGCAGGUCUGAACCUGUCACACAGUAAUCGUGCCAUAGCAAGAAACAGGGAGUUCCACCCGGUGUCAUUUGGGCGGAUGAGUUGGAGCUUGCAUUCCUUUUCAAUCAGCUCCGCAGCUAUGGUGGAGCGAGCACUUAGCACUUAGCAAAUGCUGCAUGUGAAGUUUUUUUGUAGAUCUCGUUUGAGUUUGCUUUUGUGGCGUCCAAUGUUGAGGUCAGGUUAAGAAGAUGACAAGCACAACGGUGAUUCUUUGGAAGCUGAUAUUCCGAACAACCAUCUUCAUGAGAGCUUCUACCUCAACACGCUCUGCCUCCACUCCCAGAGUUUCAUGUUCCUCACUGUCAUUCACGACCAUUACCUUCUCCCCUACUGCUGAACGUCCUUCCACAAAUGGAUGCAUUGUCAGUGGUGGUCCCUAAUACUUCAAACAUGUGGGAUCCUGUUAGCCUCCUGCAAGCAAGAGCUAUGGAGCAUCUCUCUAUCCAGUGAGCGGUCACCCCAAUUAAACUCUGACAACGUGCAG
Long non-coding RNA from Ictalurus punctatus (channel catfish), 1342 nucleotides. RefSeq lists it as uncharacterized. The record is from RefSeq and is a predicted model, not a curated record. The transcript has 3 exons. NCBI's taxonomy places the organism in Eukaryota, Metazoa, Chordata, Actinopteri, Siluriformes, Ictaluridae.